CCCUUCCGUAGGGGUAACCUGCGGAAGGAUCAUUACAGAGUUCAUGCCCGAAAGGGUAGACCUCCCACCCUUGUGUAUUAUUACUUUGUUGCUUUGGCGAGCUGCCUUCGGGCCUUGUAUGCUCGCCAGAGAAUACCAAAACUCUUUUUAUUAAUGUCGUCUGAGUACUAUAUAAUAGUUAAAACUUUCAACAACGGAUCUCUUGGUUCUGGCAUCGAUGAAGAACGCAGCGAAAUGCGAUAAGUAAUGUGAAUUGCAGAAUUCAGUGAAUCAUCGAAUCUUUGAACGCACAUUGCGCCCCUUGGUAUUCCGGGGGGCAUGCCUGUUCGAGCGUCAUUUCAACCCUCAAGCUUAGCUUGGUAUUGAGUCUAUGUCAGUAAUGGCAGGCUCUAAAAUCAGUGGCGGCGCCGCUGGGUCCUGAACGUAGUAAUAUCUCUCGUUACAGGUUCUCGGUGUGCUUCUGCCAAAACCCAAAUUUUUCUAUGGUUGACCUCGGAUCAGGUAGGGAUACCCACCAAACUUAAGCAUAUCAAUAAGGCGGGAGGAAAAGACCAAACAGAGA
This 562-nucleotide ribosomal RNA is filed under the name Botrytis cinerea. Its description in RNAcentral is "eukaryotic LSU rRNA". The stretch from base 183 to 336 matches the Rfam family "5.8S ribosomal RNA". The record is from RNAcentral. Lineage: Eukaryota; Fungi; Ascomycota; Leotiomycetes; Helotiales; Sclerotiniaceae.